Molecule: long non-coding RNA, 398 nt
Organism: Amphiprion ocellaris (clown anemonefish)
Lineage: Eukaryota; Metazoa; Chordata; Actinopteri; Pomacentridae
Source: Ensembl
UCCGGUGAUGCUCCGGUUAGCUUGACGCUGAUCUCUGCUGGAGGAGCGGACUGACUCCGGGCGUUUUCCGAUGCUGGGAAGCCGGGAAGCAGGACCUGCCGGUGGCGGGGAGGAUGCUGCGGGGCCGCGGGGGCCGCUGAGCCGGACACACCGCGGGGAGGAGACGCCUCCCGGCCGGGCUGGGUGUCUCCUGGCCGGCCUGGUGAGCUGGAGGCGGAGACCGUGGAGGACCUCAGCCCUGCUGGCUGCAGCCAACACCGUGCUGUGGUUUGUGGCCUUCGGCUCUUUUCAAGCCUACAGCCUCCUGGCCGUCCUGUUGGCUUUGCUGGUCGUCACGGUGACCGUCAGAGACAUCAUUCGGUCCAGAUCCACAGAAGCUCACUUGUGGCGCAGCAUCA